Molecule: ribosomal RNA, 503 nt
Filed under: uncultured bacterium
Lineage: Bacteria
Description: bacterial SSU rRNA
Rfam family: Bacterial small subunit ribosomal RNA
Source: RNAcentral
AUUGAACGCUGGCGGCGUGCUUAACACAUGCAAGUCGAUCGGUAACAGGUGUAGCAAUACAUGCUGACGAGAGGCGGACGGGUGAGUAAUGCUUGGGAAUCUGCCUAUUAGUGGGGGACGAACCAGGGGAAACGUCGGGCUAAUACCGCAUACGCUCUACGGAGGAAAGACCGGGGACCGCAAGGCCUGGCGCUAAUAGAUGAGCCCAAGUCGGAUUAGCUAGUUGGUAGGGAACGGCCUACCAAGGCGACAAUCCGUAGCUGGUCUGAGAGGACGACCAGCCACACCGGAACUGAGACACGGUCCGGACUCCUACGGGAGGCAGCAGUGGGGAAUAUUGGACAAUGGGGGCGAACCCUGAUCCAGCGACGCCGCGUGGGUGAAGAAGGCCUGCGGGUUGUAAAGCCCUUUCGGUGGGGAAGAAAAGUCUCGACCUAAUACGUCGGGACCUUGACGUAACCCACUAAAGAAGCACCGGCUAACUCUGUGCCAGCCGCCGCCGU